This 374-nucleotide ribosomal RNA is filed under the name uncultured organism. RNAcentral describes it as "bacterial SSU rRNA". It matches the Rfam family "Bacterial small subunit ribosomal RNA", at positions 526 to 896 of the family's 1533-position model. The record is from RNAcentral.
CGUAGGGGGCGAGCGUUGUCCGGAUUUAUUGGGCGUAAAGAGCUCGUAGGUGGUUCGAUAAGUCGGGUGUGAAAACUCUGGGCUCAACUCAGAGACGCCACCUGAUACUGUCGUGACUUGAGUCUGGUAGGGGAGUGUGGAAUUCCCGGUGUAGCGGUGAAAUGCGCAGAUAUCGGGAGGAACACCAGUGGCGAAGGCGGCACUCUGGGCCAGUACUGACACUGAGGAGCGAAAGCGUGGGUAGCGAACAGGAUUAGAUACCCUGGUAGUCCACGCCGUAAACGUUGGGCACUAGGUGUGGGUCUCAACCAACGGGAUCCGUGCCGCAGCUAACGCAUUAAGUGCCCCGCCUGGGGAGUACGGCCGCAAGGCUA